GGAUGCGAUCAUACUGGCACUAAUGCACCGGAUCCCAUUAGAACUCUACAGUUAAGCAAGCUUGGGUGAGGGUAGUACAAGGAUGUGUGACCUCCUGGAAACUCCUCGUGUUGCACCCC
This is a ribosomal RNA of Gossypium raimondii (Peruvian cotton), 119 nucleotides long. NCBI's taxonomy places the organism in Eukaryota, Viridiplantae, Streptophyta, Magnoliopsida, Malvales, Malvaceae. The record is from Rfam.